GAGCACGUAGGUGGGUUUGUAAGUCAGAUGUGAAAGCCUUCUGUUCAACGGAAGAAUUGCAUCUGAAACUGCGAGUCUUGAGUGUAGGAGGGGAGAAUGGAACUUCUGGUGGAGCGGUGAAAUGCGUAGAUAUCAGAAGGAACGCCGGCGGCGAAAGCGGCUCUCUGGUCUAUAACUGACACUGAGUGUGCGAAAGCUAGGGGAGCAAACGGGAUUAGAUACCCCGGUAGUCCUAGCCGUAAACGAUGGGCACUAAGUAGAGGGGUUUUA
This 270-nucleotide ribosomal RNA is filed under the name uncultured anaerobic ammonium-oxidizing bacterium. RNAcentral describes it as "partial 16S ribosomal RNA". It matches the Rfam family "Bacterial small subunit ribosomal RNA", at positions 565 to 833 of the family's 1533-position model. The record is from RNAcentral.